This 513-nucleotide ribosomal RNA is filed under the name uncultured bacterium. RNAcentral describes it as "partial 16S ribosomal RNA". It matches the Rfam family "Bacterial small subunit ribosomal RNA", at positions 28 to 523 of the family's 1533-position model. The record is from RNAcentral.
GAUGAACGCUGGCGGCGUGCCUAAUACAUGCAAGUCGAGCGCGCAGCGAAAGGUGCUUGCACCUUUCAAGCGAGUGGCGAACGGGUGAGUAACACGUGGAUAACCUGCCUCAAGGCUGGGGAUAACAUUUGGAAACAGAUGCUAAUACCGAAUAAAACUUAGUAUCGCAUGAUACAAAGUUAAAAGGCGCUACGGCGUCACCUAGAGAUGGAUCCGCGGUGCAUUAGUUAGUUGGUGGGGUAAAGGCUUACCAAGACGAUGAUGCAUAGCCGAGUUGAGAGACUGAUCGGCCACAUUGGGACUGAGACACGGCCCAAGCUCCUACGGGAGGCUGCAGUAGGGAAUCUUCCACAAUGGGCGCAAGCCUGAUGGAGCAACGCCGCGUGUGUGAUGAAGGCUUUCGGGUCGUAAAGCACUGUUGUAUGGGAAGAAAUGCUAAAAUAGGGAAUGAUUUUAGUUUGACGGUACCAUACCAGAAAGGGACGGCUAAAUACGUACCAGCCGCCGCGGUAA